Molecule: ribosomal RNA, 403 nt
Filed under: Verrucomicrobiota bacterium
Lineage: Bacteria; Pseudomonadati; Verrucomicrobiota
Description: Verrucomicrobia bacterium partial 16S ribosomal RNA
Rfam family: Bacterial small subunit ribosomal RNA
Source: RNAcentral
UGGGGAAUAUUGCACAAUGGAGGGAACUCUGAUGCAGCGACGCCGCGUGAACGAAGAAGGUUUUCGAAUCGUAAAGUUCUGUCCUGGGUGAAGAUAAUGACGGUAAUCCAGGAGGAAGCCCCGGCUAACUACGUGCCAGCAGCCGCGGUAAUACGUAGGGGGCGAGCGUUGUCCGGAAUUAUUGGGCGUAAAGGGUACGUAGGCGGUUAGAUAAGUUUGGUGUGAAAGCCCGAGGCUCAACCACGGGAAGCACUGAAAACUGUUUAACUUGAAUAGUGGAAGGGAUUGUGGAAUUCCUAGUGUAGCGGUGAAAUGCGUAGAGAUUAGGAAGAAUACCAAUGGCGAAAGCAACAAUCUGGACACAUAUUGACGCUGAGGUACGAAAGCGUGGGGAGCAAACAGG